UCUAAGCUCUUCUCAUUAGCUUAAAAUGAAUUGGAAACCACCACCACACCCUGUUUGGAGGAACACAAUACCUUUCUGCGAGAAAAUCCUCUUGGGAGGCUCUUCUACCUCUCAAUGACCCUUUACCCUCUCUUUUAUAGUCUAGAAGUGGGUGACGGGCUGAUGCCGGAAAGACCAUUUCACAACCUCUUCCCUGGCUGUCUGUAGGCGGUCCACUACCUUGCUUUGGAAUGAGCGAUAAGAGUUUCAAGUGACUGGGGAGAGAAAAGCAGCACUGUGCUCCGUGGAUGACUGGCAAGGAGAUGUACCUCCACUUCAGGACUUCAGAGUCUAAGAGGAAAGGAUCUUCCCUUAAAUACAGAAAAUGAGUAUUUCUUACAUCUCUCUGCUUAUCUCUAUCCCCACUGCCCACCUUAGCUUUAGACCCCAUUCUCUCUUGCCCAUGUGGGGAUAAUCUCUCCAAUUAGUGAUCUGAGUGGCGACGUAUAUCCCUUCUUCUGCUGGCACCAAACUAUUUCUCUAAUAUGACUAUAUUUGUUUCCUAGGGCUGCAGAAACAAAUGAUCACAAAGAUGGUGACUCUAAACCAUAGAAUUGCAUUGUCUCAUGGUCCUGGAGCCCAGAAGCCAAAAUCAAGGUGUCCUUAGGUUUGGUUUGUUCCCCCAGAGGCUCUGAGGGAAAAAAAACCACCCCAUGCUUCUCUCCUACCUGCUACUGGCUUUGGCAAUUUUUGGUUUUGGUGACUGGUAGAAACAUAAUUCCGACCUCUGUCUUCUUCACAUGGCCUUCUCUGUGCAACUCGGUCCCAAAUCUCCUUCUCCUUGCCCUUGUAAGGACACUGGUCAUUGGAUUUGGACCCACUAUCUAAGUCCAAAACUAUAUCAUUUCAAGAUCCUUCACUAAAUUAGGUGUGCAAAGACCCUAUUUCCAAAUAAGGGCACAUUCACAGCUAUACGGGUUAGGACUUGGAUGUAUCUUUGGGGUGGAGGAGGAGCACCAUUCAGCCACCAUCCCAAAGGGCUUCUCCUGUACAGCCUCCUCCAACCUCCAAACCAUAAGACUGAGAAUGCUUCUGGAAGACUGGGAUAUACCCUGGCAGACUAUUUAUCUUGCACAGACUAGGUGACUGAGAAUGGAGAGCAGAGAACACGGAGUAAAGAAACCUCAAUCCUGGAAGGAGGAGCAUGAGACAGCAUGUGGAGGCAGACUCAAGUGAGAGCCAACAGCCACUAGCAGGCAACUCCUCCCAAGUAGGCAAUCUAUGUAGGCUGAGCCUCAUUCAUGCUCUGGAAACCCUGCCAGGACAAAUACAGAUACACACACAGACAUGCACACACAGUGCACACACAAACUUUCCACACAUACACAAAACCCACUGUAUAAUGACCUUGGAUUGGAGGUAGGGCUCUGGCACGCUUACAGUAUGAUAGUGACAAGAAGACAAAGCCUGGCUCCUUGGCUAAAGUGAAAUUUGCACCCUGUGUGCCUUAAUAACACAAAGCCUACCUUUCCCUGAUCUCCUAGCUAUGCCAUUCAUUCCACACAGUGUCCAAUGGGGAUUUUUCUAAAAAGUCAAAUCUGACCUCAAUGUCACUCUGGUUUAAAUCUGUCAGGGACUUCUUAGAGCCUUCAGAAUAUAAUCCUGUCAAGUUCUAACUACACAGACUACUCACAGUUUUCCUGAAUAGACUCCACUUGCCACCACACUCCUGCACACGGUGCUUCUUCAGCUGGGGGUUUGCUUCCAUUUUCUUCACUCCUAACCCACCCAGAACCUAUAUCUACUCAUCAUGAGAGCUUUUACCUUUAGGUGUAGAGGGAGGUGGGCAAUUUGGAUGAGUGGCACAGUAUGCCCAGACUGACCAUCAUCAUGCAAGUUGGUCCAUGGUCUGGGCGUCAUGGUGUGCAUACUGCCCGGCCAGAUCGCCCCUGUCCUGGGAAGCUCUCCCUACACCAAAGGCUGGUUUCCUUGCAGCUGCCAUGUGCACAUUGCUACCAGCCCUCAUUACAACUCCAUGAGACCGUGGCCACUUGAGAGCAGUCAUCUGGAUCUAUUUGUUAUUGUGUUCAUGAUGCCUGAGACAAAGUCAGCAUUUCUUAUGGUUAGGUACCUGGAAAGUGAGCAAUAACCUCCCAGCUGCUUCCUCAUUCUCCACCAAGUAACAGUGGUGCCUACAACCCCUGUUGGACAGCACUAGGGAGAAUUGGAAAUGGUCCCUGUGCCCUCAGCUCCUUGGACUCUAGCAGCAGAGGGUGCGUCAGCAUAUCGAUCUUCUAUGGCCUAUGAUCCAGCCUCAGACACCAUCAUCUACACCCACAACUCCAGGUCUGAAGAUUAAAAGAGAUCAUCUCCUGCAGAUUCCCAUACAUUCCUUGAAGAUGGCCAGCACUCAAGUCAGGAAAGCUUCCUUUCCUCCUCUAUAACCAGGUCAGUCCCAGGGAAGGCAGAGAUCAGCAAAUGACCAAGAGACCUCUGAAGAGAGCUAAAUGGAGUCUCUCAUGUCAGGCAGGAGCCUGCAGCAAGCAAUGAAGCAAGCAGUUAAGGAAUCGCAGCUAGGAGGUAUCGCUGGGCCCAGCAUCAGCUGACAGCCCAGAACUGAUAAGGAGCCGAACCAGAGGAGGUCUGUGAGGGCCUGAGAUGCAUUAAAUCCCUUUAAAAAGGAGAGGAUUUGGGCAGCAAACUGUCAGACUCUUUAGGCCUGACCCCUCUAUGUCUGACCACUUUUUUAAAAGCCAACUAGUGCCGAAGGCUCUGCCCAAGGUUUCUCCGAACAGAACCGAGAUCCUUCCCUGCUUGAACAGGAGCAGCAGUAAGUGCCCAGAGCUGACCUGGCCCAGACAGCAGCCGGAUCUCAGCUGCCCGCCCAGAGGCCGACUUCUUGUUGGGUUCAUUAACUUCUGCACCCUCUUUGAUCCUGUUUGUUGUGUGGCUUGUCUUCCGUCCUGCUCUGUGUGCGGUGUAAGAAGCCAAGUUUAACCACAUGGGGAAAUGGCCUUGAGUUUGGAAUCCUGAGCCUGCUUUAUAAUUGUGAUUUAACUUUGCUUAAUGAUUGAAUAAAGCUGACUUUGUGGAAAGACACAGCUUCCAUAGCGCUUCCAUGUGCGCUUCCAUAGCAUGCUCAUGACAGCCUCCAAGACCUCCUACAUCACCUUCUCACUCGUUGGGUCAAAAUUUUGCUCAGAGCUCCCUGGCUUCGCAGAGUGACAGAACCAGAGCCACUUCUCUGACAUCCAAACUGGAUUUCUCCUCUAACCUGGUUUCACAUCAUGUGCCAGUCAGCUCUAAGGAUGGCUACAACUGUCUCCUCGGAGGGCUUCUGAGAUUAUUGCCCCACCUUGCCAAUGAGUCCUUCUGAUCAAGAUCUUUUCUUGUCUUCCAUUAAUGUGGUGACACCAUGCUCUUCUCGGUUGAACAGAUAAGUGAAGGGCAUUCUUUGUGUGAAUGGGACUGCCCUUCCAGCUUUGCCCACAGAUCCUUCUCCUAUCCUUGUUGGUGGUAAUUUAUGGAAAGAAAUGAUGAAGUCAACACUGAAAAGAUCAUAUUCUAGAAAUGUGGUAAUGUAGCCUAAAAAGUUCAAGAGAAGACAUUAUUGGAAGACGUUUUCGACAUUUAUGCUAUGAAAUUCCAAACGAUACGUUUAACAUGACCAGAAAAUGAGUAAUCACUCACAAUUUCCCUCGUACUCUGCCUGAGACUUAUAUUUGUGGUCAUCAACAAAGCAUGGUAACAACCUUUGAGAGAGUCAUUGGAAAACAGUAUUCAUGGGCAGCUUGAUGGAUGUUGCUACAUCAUGAGUAAUGAUGCAAACAUCAUUAAAUCAUUGAUAUCAGGGAAUUGUAAAGGUCAGAACAGCUAUAUUGUUUCAAUACUGAGAGGUUCUGAAGAGCCAUAGCAUCGUAAGAAAUUGGCCAGGAAUGGUGCAUUUGACAGUAAAGAGCACAAAAGAAUGAUUCCUGGAUCUAGACAGCUGUAUCUUAGAGAACUAACAAAGGGGCAAGAAGGAAAGUGAUGAAGAAGAGGAGAAGGAGAAGUGGCAACCCAUAGAAGCAGAAGCAGAACAGCAGAACCUACAAGAUGUCAAGAGGUGAUCUUGGUACAGGGUACAGCAGAAGUAACAAGCAACAGCCAGAAUCUGUAGACCAUCUCCAUCCCUGCUCCUAAGUCUCUUUAGUCAUUGCCUUCAAAGGGACAGGAAGAAGUGUGAAAAGCAGGGGCCUGUGGAAGCCUGGGACUUCUUGGUUUUGUUUUCCAAGAAGAUUUUAUCAAUUGAGGAAAUUAGGGCUUGAGGAGCAAGGGCAAGGCCAUCUGGGGAAAGAGAAAUACCCAAAAUACUCUUAUGGUCUAGGAGCAGGCUGGAAGUAAAGGGAAGGGCCACACUUGAAUUUAUUGCCAGUAUCAGAGGUUGGAAGGGAAAAGGACCCAGCCAAGGACACUUAGAAGAAACACCCAGUGUCGGAGAAGGAAAUCAGGAUGUGACUUCCUGGAAGCCAAAGGAAAAACAGGGGCUUAACAAGGAGUGAGUCAUCAAGUGUUUGAAAAGCUGCCAAGACAUUAGGUAAAACAAAACCUGGAGAUUUUCCACUGGAUUUGGCAUCUUCUUCUGUGUUUCCUCCUAUGUGAUAGAAUCAGAUUGAGUCCUGGUGACACCAAAAGCCAAUCCUCCCAGCUCAGGGAGACUGCUGCAUGGAUAUAAUGGCUGGAGAUAUCUGGUAGCCAUCCUGACAGCACAAGAACAGUGAACAUACUCUAAAGAAGGUGGACAGAGAAGCUGGACAGAGCCCAGAUUGCCCAAUAACACUAUGGGGCCUCCAUGCCAGUCUUGGACAAUUUACCUUUUGAUUUUCUUCUUGUAGAAAUAUAUAGAUUUACUGUCUCA
Canis lupus familiaris (dog) is the source of this 4876-nucleotide long non-coding RNA. RefSeq lists it as uncharacterized. The transcript has 8 exons. NCBI's taxonomy places the organism in Eukaryota, Metazoa, Chordata, Mammalia, Carnivora, Canidae. The record is from RefSeq and is a predicted model, not a curated record.